This is a long non-coding RNA of Ficedula albicollis (Collared flycatcher), 3275 nucleotides long. Lineage: Eukaryota; Metazoa; Chordata; Aves; Passeriformes; Muscicapidae. The record is from Ensembl.
UGCUGCUGUAUGUGCAAGAGUGAGUUUGUGCUGAGAACUGCAGCUGGGACCAGGGGCUGCCCAGCUCCUGGGACAAUAUCUGUGCACAAACGAUUUCUAAGCCAUUACAGCUGAAACUUGCUCUUCUUCCAGGUCCAUGCAUGUUAAAGCAAGUUCAUGCACAGUGUCCUGAAGGAGAGGGAUCUUUCCAGCCUUCCAGGUCCAUGCAUGUUAAAGCAAGUUCAUACACAAUGUCCUCAAGGAGAGGGAUCUUUCCAGCUAAGACUGGGGGGGAUGAAGCACUGCAGAGCACAUUUUGUAUGUACCAGCUCUGAGAUCCUGAUCAAAACUCAGAAUUCCUCACUCCUGGAUCUCACUGUGCCACAGGUGAUGGAGAUGGCAUCUGACCUUUUUGGCUUUACUGACUCUCCAGUGUUCCCCACUCCUGCUGCAGGAGGUGCUGGUGCUCACUGCUGAAACCUGGCUCCUGUUCCCGGGUGUGUGACCCUGUCCCUGCCUUGGGUGGGCAUGAGGAGCUUCCUGAUUUCAUUUCCUUUCUGAUUUUCAAGCAAGUCUCCCAGAGAAACACACACAUGUCCUGUUUGCUGCGUUUUUUUGGGUGUGAUACAAGUAAGGAAGGGUUUUCUGCUGAGGAGGAGAUAAGCUCAGAAGACCUGAGAAUGAGAAAAUCUAAUUACCAUUCUGCUAUUGCUCAGCAUGACCUGUUUAACUUUCAGUCACUUCCUCAAAAGUGACUACAGGUACAGGAAGAAAAGAAUCCAUCUGUGGAAUUCUCCUGUGCAAGAUGACAAAUGCUCAGCUGGGAAGGAGGUUUCUUCCCCCAGUCAGCUGCAGCAGCAGAGGAUGCACAGUGUCAGAGGUGGAGGUGGCCAAAAUUAUGCCAAAGAAUCCUUGAUGCUGUCCUGUGUCUGAGCACCAGGGCACUGAAUACUGAGCAGGUAAAACAGACACCCUCUGUGAGCUGUGAUGUUGGAGCUGCUGUGAUUUACCCUGGAGGAGUUGUGAACAGCAUCUCCAAACCCUGUGACUUUUCAGGGCGAUUUCUGGAAAUGGGAGAAGGUUUCCCAGGGGGAGCAAAGCAGUUUGGAAAGCUGCUGCUGGUCCAUCCUCUCAGACCUGGGGGGUUUGUGCCUCCUUAUUUCCUACCACCUCUGAAGUGCGGGUCACCAGUGCCCAUACCUGCUGCUGAUGUUGCCCCUGGCAACGCGGGGAAGUGAAGGACUCCUGCCGACCCCGACCAACGUGGGAACAGGAGUCUCAGCCUCACUGACACCUCCCAAGUCCCAAAUGGGCUUGUUGUUCUAGGGGUGUCCCUACUACCUGCUCAGCAGUGAUGGGGAAGAGACAGUUCGGUGCUUUACAGAGCUGAUCCUCUCGCUCGUUAAAUACAGUGGUCUCGGAUCUACGUCUGGGUCGGUUCGUGGUUAUGAAGGUUUUUCUUUCUUUGCUGGAUCUCUCGGUAGAAGAGGCUUACGGGUGCGAGUGGUGAUUUCCAUCAUGGGCGUCGCUGGUGUGACAGCGGAGCGUUACAUACUUAACAAGUUAACAUCGUGAACAAUGUCACAAGAUACACAGCAAUUUCACAAGUUAACAUCGUGAACAAUGUCACAAGAUGCACAGCAAUUUCGAACACUUUAACCGUCUUUAAUGAAAAACGUGAGGUAAGUGACUAUUUGGGACCCUUUGAUACCCUGGCAGUUCUCAACGAAAGUUUAUUUACUACAACAAGACCAGGUAUUAUAAAGACCAGGGGAAGAAACAAGGUAUGAAACACAUUUAGGCUUUGACUUUCCAAGUGGCAAUCUCAAUUUCCCCACUGCAUUCCCCAAAUAUUUCCUCCCUGGUGAUCCUGGCCAUCCCUGACCCAAAGCCCUUCAGAACUGACCAGGACAUUUGGGAUUAAUGACUGAGCUUUAGUGCUUCCAUCCACAAAAUGGAUAUUGCUCAUCUGAAGGUUAUGGUCAGAGCUGAUGACUCUAAAGCUCCUUAAAGAUACGAUGCUGUAAAAAUUGUAAAGGCUGUUGAUGGUUUAUUAUUUUUUAUCUGUAAUAUUUAUUGCCUUUCACUGCCUUCUUGCAUAACAUAGCAAAUGUUGUUCUGCUUCCUGAAAACGUGUGGUAAAUCAACUGAUCCACUGUUGUUUUCAAGUAUCCUUACUUAGUGUUAGUUUUCAUGCACAUGUUGUGAAAUCUAUGUAAAAUAUGCCUUAAAUAGCUGAAUAAAAUAAAUGCCAGGGCUCUUACAGCUUUUUCCACCUGCUUUCAAUGCAGAGCUGCCAAACAAUUUCAGUGGUUUAUAGCCUGUUGCCCAAAAUCAAAUUCUGUGUUACUUUUGGUUUAAGGGCUAAUAGCUUUUUGAAAUAUAUUAGUGUUUUCUGGUGACAGAUCCAAGAUUAGCUGUUUAUCCAUUGUUCCAAGAGGUAUUCUAUAAUCCUGUGGCACAGUCAACUUUAUGAGAAAUUUUACAAGCUUUCCUGAGCGCAUUGUGUUUUAAAAUGCUAAAAAAGCAGUUAAGGAGAGAGGAAAACAAAGCACUGCAGUGUGUCCCUCUGAUGUUCCAUUGGCCUUUGAAGUGCUGGGGAGUGAGGAGGGAUGACUGCAGGAAUGACUGCAGGAGGAAUCACUUUGCCCAGACAGACUGAGGAGCCAGCCAGCCAAAGUUUUUAAGUGCUGCAGAACUGCUUUACUGGAGGAGUAUUUGCCUUAAGACAAUGAACAGCCAGAGUGGGGGAGCCCAAGUCACUGCCAGACCUUGAGCACGUCCUUGGGAGCAGCAGCACUGAGAGAAUGGCAUCCAUUGGGUUGGUGUCAGUCAAUCCUGAUUUUUUCACGUGGUGAGAUCAAAACCAGAGUGGGCAGCAGAUUGAGGAGGGGAAUUCUGCGAGGAGGAAUUGGGGGAAUUUGGCUCUUUGAAUUUUUUUUUUUUUUCAUUGGCAGAUGGCUUUUAAGUGAUUUAUUGGCCAAACCCAAUCAAUUUUCAUUAGAAAGCAAGUAUUUAAUGACUUUGGAGGUGGGGACUGAAAACAAAGAAGUGCUAAUGGAGCCGACGGUGCUGGGUGACACAGCAGAGCAGCCCUUCAUCAAACAGGCUUUAAAGAGUGUUUGAGAGCCGGUGCUGAGGGCGAUGAUUUCCUUUCAUGUGCGCUUUAAUUCACCGUCCUCUGCAGUCAGUGGUGCAUAACUAGGGCUAGACUGAAUUAGAGGAGAAAUGGAUCCUUGCUCUCAUCCUCACGGGCUGCAGCAGUGCUGGAUGCCCCGGGAGCUCCCAGCUGGCUG